AUUGCCUGAACAAAUCUACAGA
This 22-nucleotide non-coding RNA is filed under the name Arabidopsis thaliana (thale cress). Lineage: Eukaryota; Viridiplantae; Streptophyta; Magnoliopsida; Brassicales; Brassicaceae. The record is from RNAcentral.